CCUACGGGUGGCUGCAGUGAGGAAUAUUGGUCAAUGGACGAGAGUCUGAACCAGCCAAGUCGCGUGAAGGAUGACUGCCCUAUGGGUUGUAAACUUCUUUUAUAAAGGAAUAAAACGAGGCACGUGUGCCGUUGUGCCUGUACUUUAUGAAUAAGGAUCGGCUAACUCCGUGCCAGCAGCCGCGGUAAUACGGAGGAUCCGAGCGUUAUCCGGAUUUAUUUGGUUUAAAGGGAGCGUUGAUGGUUUGUUAAGUCAGUUGUGAAAGUUUGCGGCUCAACCGUAAAAUUGCAAUUGAUACUGGCAGUCAUGAGUACAGUUGAGGUAGGCGGAAUUCGUGGUGUAGCGGUGAAAUGCUUAGAUAUCACGAAGAACCCCGAUUGCGAAGGCAGCUUACUAAACUGUGACUGACAUUGAUGCACGAAAGUGUGGGUAGCAAACAGGAUUAGAUACCCCAGUAGUC
Molecule: ribosomal RNA, 460 nt
Filed under: uncultured bacterium
Lineage: Bacteria
Description: partial 16S ribosomal RNA
Rfam family: Bacterial small subunit ribosomal RNA
Source: RNAcentral